GCAUUUUUACAGACUUAGUAUUCACUGUUCAUCAACAAAAACUGAAUUGAUUGUGAAAUAAAUAAAUGGAAAUGAAUAAUGAAAUAGUUCCCGCCAAUCUCGGCUUCCUAAACUCGGGUUAAUAGUGCUUGGUCUAUUGUUCGGUUGGCGAAAUUUCGCAAGUGGUCCACGAGAAUGGUCCACGGGAGUGGUCCGCGGUCCACGAGUGUAGUCCAUGGACCAGGUCCACGAAGGUAGUCCAUAGAUCUGGGGUCCGCGUCUUGUCAUUUCCCCCCUCAUUUUCCUUUUGCCCUUUCCUUUCUUUUCCCUUUGUUCUCUUCUUUUCCCUCUUUCUUUUCCUUUCCCUUCCUUUCUUUUUCACUCUUCUUUGAAUUUCUUCCCUGGCCCUAAGACCCUUUGAUUCCUUUCCCCCCCAGGGGGGUGGAUUAUAGAAGAAUAUACACCCAAAAUAUUUGUCUGCGUUUUUACAAGCGAUUCAUCAUCAAUCACGCCAUCCUGGCUAGUACAACCGGCCACUUUGUACCUACCAAAACCUGAUAAAAACUUCCGGUUGUAGUAACCAGGAUGGCGUGAGCGAGUUAAAAUUUUCGUGGACAUAAGAGGGUCC
This is a non-coding RNA of Paramuricea clavata, 607 nucleotides long. The record is from the annotation of a GenBank genome assembly. NCBI's taxonomy places the organism in Eukaryota, Metazoa, Cnidaria, Anthozoa, Malacalcyonacea, Plexauridae.